UUAUUACCAUGAGCAAAUCAGAGUGUUUAAAGCAGGCUUUUAAGCUUGAAUGUGUUAGCAUGGAAUAAUGAAAUAUGACUUUAGUCCUAUUUUCGUUGGUUUAGGUACUUCAGUAAUAGAUGACAUAGAACACGGUAGGGGCACAUAACUCCG
RNAcentral lists this ribosomal RNA (153 nucleotides) under Rhizopus arrhizus. RNAcentral describes it as "Rhizopus oryzae partial small subunit ribosomal RNA". It matches the Rfam family "Eukaryotic small subunit ribosomal RNA", at positions 749 to 902 of the family's 1831-position model. The record is from RNAcentral. Lineage: Eukaryota; Fungi; Mucoromycota; Mucoromycetes; Mucorales; Rhizopodaceae.